CCUGUUCGAGCGUCAUUAUGACCAAUCCCGAAGGGUCUUGGGGUCCGCGGUUCGCUGCGGCCCUUAAAAUCAGUGGCGGCGCGCCGGUGCUCUCAGCGUAGUAAUACUCCUCGCUCGGGAACCACGGUGGAUGCUUGCCAGCAACCCCUUAAUUUUCAAAGGUUGACCUCGGAUCAGGUAGGGAUACCCGCUGAACUUAA
Molecule: unclassified non-coding RNA, 200 nt
Filed under: soil metagenome
Description: partial contains internal transcribed spacer 2 and large subunit ribosomal RNA
Source: RNAcentral